GACGAACGCUGGCGGCGUGCUUAACACAUGCAAGUCGAACGGAAAGGCCCUGCUUUUGUGGGGUGCUCGAGUGGCGAACGGGUGAGUAACACGUGAGUAACCUGCCCUUGACUUUGGGAUAACUUCAGGAAACUGGGGCUAAUACCGGAUAGGAGCUCCUGCUGCAUGGUGGGGGUUGGAAAGUUUCGGCGGUUGGGGAUGGACUCGCGGCUUAUCAGCUUGUUGGUGGGGUAGUGGCUUACCAAGGCUUUGACGGGUAGCCGGCCUGAGAGGGUGACCGGCCACAUUGGGACUGAGAUACGGCCCAGACUCCUACGGGAGGCAGCAGUGGGGAAUAUUGCACAAUGGGCGGAAGCCUGAUGCAGCAACGCCGCGUGCGGGAUGACGGCCUUCGGGUUGUAAACCGCUUUCGCCUGUGACGAAGCGUGAGUGACGAUAAUGGGUAAAGAAGCACCGGCUAACUACGUA
Molecule: ribosomal RNA, 468 nt
Filed under: uncultured bacterium
Lineage: Bacteria
Description: partial 16S ribosomal RNA
Rfam family: Bacterial small subunit ribosomal RNA
Source: RNAcentral